Long non-coding RNA from Helianthus annuus (common sunflower), 3102 nucleotides. RefSeq lists it as uncharacterized. The record is from RefSeq and is a predicted model, not a curated record. The transcript is spliced from 17 exons. Lineage: Eukaryota; Viridiplantae; Streptophyta; Magnoliopsida; Asterales; Asteraceae.
GUACACGUGUCAUCUUUUAUUAGUUUUACAUGUUUUUUCUUCCCCUCCAAUUUUCUUCUCCUGCAUCUCUAAUUAGGUUUUUAUUUACAGAAUCCUCCCAACCCUUUUCCUAACUUCAGCCGCCAAUGUGAAGAAAAUCCUCCCACCCACCGUAUUCGAUCUUAUUUUUUUCAACUAUCAACGCAUUCUCCCACCGUAUUCGAUCCUCAACCAUCAACACCAGAAGAAUCCUAAAUGACGCCGCCCCUAUUUGUCUUCUAUCUUGAAGAUUCGGAUUGAUAAAAACAAAAAUUGAAGAUUCAGAUUGUAUUUUUUCGUGAUGAUGAUGAAUCGAAGAUCUGGACUAAACCCUAAUUUUAAGAUUUGGAUUGUAUUUGUUCAUGACGGUGAUGAACUAAGGUUGAUUUCAGACUAUUUGAUUGAGCCCUUUUUCUCUCCUCAUUGACUUUCGGUUUUUCAAGGAUGGUAACAUAUCUCCUCGCCGUUGUACAAUUUUUUUUUUGUAGCUAAUGACCCCAUGUUUGUGAUCUAAGCUUACAACUCCUUUAAAUAGACCGAGACCGUGGUCCAUACCCGGCUUAUUCGUUCUCAAAGAGCUUCAAGGGAGUUUUGGGUUUAUACUCUAUGAUGUCAAGUCUAAAACUGUGUUCGUAUCACUUGGUGCAGAUGGGGAAGUGAAGCUCUAUUGGGGCAUAGCAGAUCAUGGCUCUAUGGUAAUUUAUGAUAAAUUGGUGGCCAUUAAGUCUAUUAGAGGCAAAAGACCAAGGCUAAGGAUGAGAUUCGACUUUUUGUUUUUUUUUCUUCUAAAGCGAUGAUUGCUAACCAGAGCAGUAUCUUAAUUCUACAAGAGACGCGUAUCGAUUUAGCGUGGUCCUUGGUGGUGUAUGAGCUGGUGGAUAACCUAGCAAGGCAUGUGGUGAUGAAUGGGGGUGAUUCGGCUUAUGUGGAUCUUUUGUCGUCGGGGUUUGAGAUAAUCCUUGACGGGCCGGUAAUCGUGUUGUGUCGAAUACAGAGAAUGGUGGGGUGGGUGGUGGCGCGGCGGGAAUGUGUCUACUGAGAAUUUUGAUUGCAAGCUUGACCUUAAGGUGAUUGCCCUGCAAGCUCGCAAUGUAGAAUAUAGCCCCAAGAAACCCUAAAUCAUUCUUCCUCACAAUCAAGUCGUUCCUCUCAUCUCGAAAGGCGAUUCUUCAUCUUCAUCUUCGGUUUGCUUGUGCCCUUUCGUAUCCACUGAAACCCUAACCGACCGGAAAAAUCGCCAAAAAUUCAUCACAAUAUGGUAUGUGAUUGGUCAACAACUAUGGAUUUCGUUAUUGCUUCUUUUUGUUACGAGAUCGACGUUGUUGGUUUCACCUAAGGGGUGAUGAUGCUAACCUUUGGUUUCAAUUGUCUGUGAUGGUUGUGCGGCUUAUUUUCGCAAGGCAACCGACAUUUCCUGUGAUAAUCAUGUUUAGGAUUGGAUUAUUGAAAUGACAACAAAUAUUGCUAAUAUGCAUCUUGCUGUUGCAAAAGCCUCUGCCUUUUCUUCUCAUGAAGUGUCAAAGUCAAGCAUUGCAGAUUUCAGUAGUGGUGCGAAAGGUGCGAAAGGUGCAUCAUGUGCAAAGCUUAAAAGAUUGUGGGGUCGUAAUUUUUUUUCUAUAACAUUAGAUAGAUUUCAGAACUGGCUUAAUCCAUAAAAAAUCAAGUUGCAAAAUUCAUUUUUUAACUUAAUCCAUUCAUGCGUCUCCCCCAAUUAUCCAUUUUUUUUUCUCAAUUUUGUUUCCUCCAAAAAAGGAGUGGAUUGCGAACAGAAAUUGUUAUAUAUUGCACCUCCGCCUCACCGAUUUUGCCUCUCCUUCAACAGCCGAACCCACCCUAAUUUGCUGUCAGUAGUUUCUAUUUGUCAUAACUGUAAUUUGUAAAUGAAUAAUAGAAGUUAGUUAGUUCGAAAGUUGGGAAGAAUCACAUGAUAUAUUUUGGAAAUGAAAUUUAAGUGUUCGGUUUCAGUUUGGCGGAAUCACAUUAUAUAUUUUUGAAAUGAAAUUGAAAUGUUCGGUUUGAGUUGGGCAUGUUGAAAUUUGCGCCUAUAAAUCAAGUUUCUGCUUCGGAGGUUAAGACACAUGUUUCUAAGGUACGUUUGUGUUAUUCUUCAUUCAUGUGGCCUUUUAUCUUUUAUAAUAAAUGCUAGCCCAUCUGUUGUUGUUUUUAUUGGCAAUCUAAUGGAAAUGCUGGCAAUCUUAUUGAUUUUGUACUCAAGUUUUGCAUUAGAAAAGAUUGAUACGCAAGAGGGUAUGUCUGUUUUCAUUGUACCGAGGAACCAAAGGUGAUCGAUCAUUGAUGGUGUGAACCGAUUGAUGCAGGGGAGGUACUCAAAGAAUGGCAGAAUGGAGUUUUGGCAAGGAUCCUUGCAGAGAGAAUCCAAAAUUCGACAAAGUCUAUGUGGAGUGCCAUUGCCCUUUUAAAAAUAAUAUCACGUGUCAUAUUAUCAAAAUCGGAGCAAGAUCCGUCUUCUAUGGGCACGAUUCAGAUGUGUAUGCAUCUCCGUUAUAUGGAUGGUGGUGCCACCAAAUAUAAUAAAAAGCAGGAGUCGAUGGUGCUGCCCGAUAAGGUCACAGUUGUUUGCACAGGGGUGGAAGGCAUACUAUCCGAGCCUGCAUUUGGUUGUGUGCAAGUGCGGAUCUUGCGGGACACAAAAUGUGGCACUUAGUGAAUGGGAGAGACAUACAGGGUCAAAAGUUAAAAAUUGGAAAACUAGCAUCAAAGUGAAGGGUUCGUUGUUGCCACUAGAACAAUGGAGGCUACAGGUCGCUGAGUAUCAUGCUCGUGCUGUUGUUUCAGUGAAAUCUAAAAAACGCCCUUCGUUAAAAGCACGAAAGCAGAAAUUGCUUAGUUUUCUUCAAGAAAAAUACGAACCGAUAUGUGCGAAGUGCACAACAUAACGUUGUGUUGUAUGCCGUUGGAUUGAAGAUUGGGACUACAACAAAAUAAUCAUAUGCAUCAGGUGUCAAAUAGCGGUUCACCAAGAAUGUUAUGGGGCAAGAAAUGUUCAAGAUUUUACUUCAUGGGUUUGCCGGUCCUAUGAGACACCGGAUAUUGAGCGAGAAUGUUGUCUCUGCCCUGUAAAAG